UCGAGGAUCUUCGGCAAUGGGCGCAAGCCUGACCGAGCGACGCCGCGUGUGGGAUGAAGGCCCUCGGGUUGUAAACCACUGUCAGAGGGGAUGAAAUGCGUGGGGGUUCUCCCCCACGUUUGACAUAGCCUCAGAGGAAGGACGGGCUAAGUUCGUGCCAGCAGCCGCGGUAAGACGAACCGUCCGAACGUUAUUCGGAAUUACUGGGCUUAAAGGGUGCGUAGGCUGCGCAGAAAGUUGGGUGUGAAAUCCCUCGGCUCAACCGAGGAACUGCGCCCAAUACUACUGUGCUCGAGGGAGACAGAGGUGAGCGGAACUUAGGGUGGAGCGGUGAAAUGCGUUGAUAUCCUAAGGAACACCCGUGGCGAAAGCGGCUCACUGGGUCUCUUCUGACGCUGAGGCACGAAAGCUAGGGUAGCGAACGGGAUUAGAUACCCCCGUAGUCC
RNAcentral lists this ribosomal RNA (446 nucleotides) under uncultured bacterium. RNAcentral's name for it is "bacterial SSU rRNA". It matches the Rfam family "Bacterial small subunit ribosomal RNA", at positions 355 to 796 of the family's 1533-position model. The record is from RNAcentral.